This 2339-nucleotide long non-coding RNA is filed under the name Homo sapiens (human). RNAcentral describes it as "HSALNT0333376". Lineage: Eukaryota; Metazoa; Chordata; Mammalia; Primates; Hominidae. The record is from RNAcentral.
CUCCAGUCAUAGAGAUGCAAGUGUAGAUACACAGUAAGAGUAGUAUGAAUGGCAGACACCUUGGAAGGCUAUUUCUUCCUUCAUUCAUUCAGUUGGUCACUCAAUGAACUAUCAUGAAUUGAGCACUACCUCUGUUUCUUAUCAACAAAGGAGACUACGGAAAGGAAGAAUGACUAAGAUCUCUGAAGAAGGGAAAAGCUAGAUGACUGGGCCACAAGAGGAAAAAAAGCAGCAAGACAGAGAAUAAGUACCCACUGCACUCUUGCCCUGGGCCAUCAAUGAGAAGAUCUGCUCUUAGUGGAGCCCUGCUUUCGCGGUGAAGGCCUUGAAGUCGCGUGUGUUCUAGACUGCCCACUAAGGAUGAAAAAAGAUGCUGUGAGAUGAAGAAGUAGCUCAAGUGGUGGAGUGCUCGCUUAGCAUGUGAGAGGUAGUGGGAUUGAUGCCCACAUUCUCCAGGUUUCACUAGUCGGACCUCAGGUCUCCAGGUUACAGUGGAAAAAAAUAUGUGUUAGACACUGAUCUCAGAAAACAGUAAGUUAGACACUCAUCUCAGUAGCAGCCUGGACACUUCUUUGGCUCAUUAUGUAAGGGCAGCAACAAUACGGGCUUGACUAAGAUUCUACUGGUAUGUGGUAUAGUAUAGAUCUAUCGAUGUGUAAUUAGUUUUCUGUUUCUUUGAGGAGCUGUGAUACAAAGGGACAUAUCCAGUUGCACUUAUUCUCCCUGUUUCCUCCUGCAGCUUGGUCCUAAAUGCAGCAUAAUUAUGGAAAGCGCAGGGCAGAGCCACUCAGGUAAAUACAGCCCCAGCUUUCUGAUCGGGAGACCGAAACUAGGAGUUGCCAAGUAACCAGGAAAGACACUGUGGAGAGCAAACCUGUCAAGUUGUAUGUGAACUCCUGGAUGCGCCUGUGAGCUGUGAAUAAGUGGCUCUGAUCAAAGACAACUUAUCUAAAAAGAGCCUGAGAAUCGAACUAAGUGAUAGCCUACUUUCCAGUCCUCACUGGCCACUGGGUUGCACAUACUCCAGAGUCUCUGAAUAGCAGUGUUAAGGCUUUGAAAAUAGAAUCGACUUUGAAACUACAACACACAAGGCUGGCUGGUUAUUGGAACUUGAACACAAGGCAAUCACAUGCCUGCAAAAACAAAAAUAGCAAUAUUAUCCUUAAGAUUUCAACAAGACACAGUGUCUCAUCACAUAAUGCAAAGUACAACCCCAAAAUAUUCAGCAUAUGAAGAACCAGGGCAAUCUUAAUUCACUUGGCAAAGAGAAUCCUCGAAUAACAAUACUGAGAAGACACAGAUGUUACAAUCAUCUGACACAUACUUUUAAGCAGUUAUUACAACAAUGCUCCAUGAAUGAAAGGAUAACACUCUUGAAGUGAAUGGAAAGUUGGGAAGUCUUAGCAAGUAUCUGGAAGCUCUAAACACUGAUUUUAAACUUAAAAAUUAAAAAAUGUAUUCAUCAAAACUAUUAGGAGAAAAAAAACUUCAAUGGGUUAUUUCAAUAACAAAAUUGAGACACUCAGAAUAAAGUCAAUGAACUUGAAAACAGAACAAAAAUACCAACCUAACCUGAACAAUAGAGAAAAAGGAGUGCUUUUGCAAAUGAACAGAGCCUCCCGGACAAACAGAAAAAUAAGAAAAAUCUAACACAUCAUUGUAAUCCUGCAGGAAGAAGAGAAAGAGGUCCUCCAGAAAGAAAACUCCGAAGAAUUAAUGGCUGAAAACAUAUCAAAUUUAUCAAAACACUUUAGAAGUUCAAUAAAUGUCAAGUAGGUUAAACCCAAAGAAAUCCAUACCCAGACACAUCAUAAUCAAACUGCUGAAAACUAAGGAAAACCAUAAAAAUCUUGAAGGCAGCCAAAUGAAAAUAAAAGGGAAACUGCCACUUGAAUGACUGUGGACUUCUCAUCAGAAACCAUAGGGGCCCAAGGAAACAUUUACUAAAUACCAAAAGAAAAGACCUGUCAACCCAGAAUGCUAUGUAGAGCAAAAAUAUCUUUCAGACUAAAGGUAAAUAAAUACAUUCUCACAGGAAGGUAAACUGAGAGAAUUCAUUGCUGGUAGAACUGCUGGACAAGAAUUAGCAACGAUUUAAGAUGAGAAAAAUGAUACCAGAAAGAGACAGGACACCAUCAGUGAAGGAACGAAAGCCGAAAUAGAAAAUGUCUGGGUAGACAUUACAGACUAUUAUUCUUCUCUUGAGUUCCUUAAGGAUCCCGACUCAGAUUGAAAAAGCAGAGGAUGGUCACUGCCUUCCAGGUCUGAGGCUGUCUCCCAGAAACUUCAUUCCUCGCUUCGCCUUGGUUCUCCAUCACUUUCUGAGUCCUACAGGAGGA